Molecule: non-coding RNA, 427 nt
Organism: Pelobates cultripes (western spadefoot toad)
Lineage: Eukaryota; Metazoa; Chordata; Amphibia; Anura; Pelobatidae
Source: the annotation of a GenBank genome assembly
CAGUAUUUUAAUGCUUCGUGCAAACCAUGUGCAUAAUGGAGUCUUGUCUCUGUCCUGGGAGAUAAUUUAAUUACUUCUCAAUUAUCUCCUGGGCAGAGGAGAGGAAGCCAGGAUGCAUUGUGGUAAAAAGGGGGAGGGAAUCUGUGGGUUGUAACUAAUGUUACUGGAUGUUUUAUACCUCCCUGUGGGCUGUCCUGUAUUUGCAACACUGUAAUAAAAACCAGGCUGGGUGACCCAGCACCUCAGACCACUGCUUGACCCUCAACACAGAGCCUUGUCUCGUUCUUGGGGGGAUUCACUGUAUGCAGUUUGAGUGUUUGGACCAUUCCCUUGUAUGCAGUUCGAGUGUUUGGACCAUUCCCUUGUAUGCAGUUCGAGUGUUUGGAGCAUUCCCUUGUAUGCCGUUCGGGAGUUUGGAGCAUUCACU